This 65-nucleotide transfer RNA is filed under the name Candidatus Avelusimicrobium excrementipullorum. Its description in RNAcentral is "tRNA-Lys". It matches the Rfam family "tRNA", at positions 9 to 71 of the family's 71-position model. From Rfam's summary of the family: Transfer RNA (tRNA) molecules are approximately 80 nucleotides in length. Their secondary structure includes four short double-helical elements and three loops (D, anti-codon, and T loops). Lineage: Bacteria; Pseudomonadati; Elusimicrobiota; Elusimicrobia; Elusimicrobiales; Elusimicrobiaceae. The record is from RNAcentral.
AGCUCAGCUGGUAGAGCCGACGCCUCUUAAGCGUAAGGUCGUGAGUUCGAGCCUCACAUGGCCCA